Molecule: ribosomal RNA, 407 nt
Filed under: uncultured bacterium
Lineage: Bacteria
Description: partial 16S ribosomal RNA
Rfam family: Bacterial small subunit ribosomal RNA
Source: RNAcentral
GACGAACGCUGGCGGCGUGCCUAAUACAUGCAAGUCGACCUUAGUGGCGGACGGGUGAGUAACAAGUGGGAAACUACCCAUCAGAGGGGGAUAACUACUGGAAACGGUGGCUAAUACCGCAUACUUUCGGAUGAACCCAUAUGGGAUUAGCUAGUAGGUGGGGUAAAGGCCCACCUAGGCGACGAUCUCUAGCUGGUCUGAGAGGAUGAUCAGCCACACUGGGACGGAGACACGGCCCAGACGCCUACGGGAGGCAGCAGUGGGGAAUAUUGCACAAUGGGCGAAAGCCUGAUCCAGCCAUGCCGCGUGUGUGAAGAAGGUCUUCGGAUUGUAAAGCACUUUAAGUUGGGAGGCGUUACCAACAGAAUAAGCACCGGCUAACUUCGUGCCAGCAGCCGCGGUAAUAC